This is a non-coding RNA of Trichonephila inaurata madagascariensis, 73 nucleotides long. The record is from the annotation of a GenBank genome assembly. Lineage: Eukaryota; Metazoa; Arthropoda; Arachnida; Araneae; Nephilidae.
GCCCAGCCAGUAUGGUGGAUAUCACUCUCAGCUUGUAACCGAGAGGGGUCGGGUUCGAAUUCCGAGUAAGGCA